UUAGAGCAACAAGCUUUGCCUGUUGAGCAC
This 30-nucleotide non-coding RNA is filed under the name Rattus norvegicus (Norway rat). The record is from RNAcentral. Lineage: Eukaryota; Metazoa; Chordata; Mammalia; Rodentia; Muridae.